UUGCUCCCUUCAGCAGUACAUAUACUAAAAUUGGAGCAAUACAGAGAAGAUUAACAUGGCCCCUGUGAAAGGAUGACAUGCAAAUUUGUGAAGUGUUCCAUAUUUAA
Small nuclear RNA from Peromyscus leucopus (white-footed mouse), 107 nucleotides. The record is from RefSeq and is a predicted model, not a curated record. NCBI's taxonomy places the organism in Eukaryota, Metazoa, Chordata, Mammalia, Rodentia, Cricetidae.